This 72-nucleotide transfer RNA is filed under the name Ictidomys tridecemlineatus (thirteen-lined ground squirrel). Its description in RNAcentral is "Spermophilus tridecemlineatus (thirteen-lined ground squirrel) tRNA". It matches the Rfam family "tRNA". From Rfam's summary of the family: Transfer RNA (tRNA) molecules are approximately 80 nucleotides in length. The record is from Rfam by way of RNAcentral. Lineage: Eukaryota; Metazoa; Chordata; Mammalia; Rodentia; Sciuridae.
GGGGGUGUGGCUCAGUGGUAGAGUGCUUGCCUUGCAUGUUUAAGAUCCUGGGUUCAAUCCUCAGCACCGCAU